Molecule: non-coding RNA, 375 nt
Filed under: Brassica napus (rape)
Lineage: Eukaryota; Viridiplantae; Streptophyta; Magnoliopsida; Brassicales; Brassicaceae
Description: Bacterial small subunit ribosomal RNA
Rfam family: Bacterial small subunit ribosomal RNA
Source: Rfam by way of RNAcentral
GCACGGAGUUUUAAUCCAGGAAAGAGUUGUGAACAAAGUGGCGGGUGCGUAAGGCGUGGGAAUCUGCCGAACAGUUCGGGCUAAAUCCCGAAGAAAGCUAGAAAGCGCUGUUUGAUGAGCCUGCGUAGUAUUAGGUAGUUGGUUAGGUAAAGGCUGAUCAAGCCGAUGAUGCUUAGAUCAGCCACACCGGGACUGAGACACAGCCCGGACUCCCACAGUGGCAGCAGUGAGGAAUCUUGGACAAUGGACGCAAGCCUGAUCCAGCAAUAUUGCAUAAGUGAAGAAGGGCAAUUCCGUUCGUAAAGCUCUUUAGUCGAGUGCGAGAGUUGUAGUGCAUGUGUUCUGCAGACCAAAGCUAGGAUGGUCCAAGGACCA